ACGUAGGGAGCGAGCGUUGUCCGGAAUCAUUGGGCGUAAAGCGCGCGUAGGCGGCCCGAUAAGUCCGCUGUGAAAGUCAACGGCUCAACUGUUGAAAGCCGGUGGAUACUGUCGGGCUAGAGUACGGAAGAGGCAAGUGGAAUUCCUGGUGUAGCGGUGGAAUGCGCAGAUAUCAGGAGGAACACCGGUGGCGAAAGCGGAUCUCUGGCGCGUUACUGACGCUGAGGCUCGAAAGCGUGGGGAGCAAACGG
Molecule: ribosomal RNA, 251 nt
Filed under: uncultured prokaryote
Description: partial 16S ribosomal RNA
Rfam family: Bacterial small subunit ribosomal RNA
Source: RNAcentral